Long non-coding RNA from Lactuca sativa (garden lettuce), 4752 nucleotides. RefSeq lists it as uncharacterized. The record is from RefSeq and is a predicted model, not a curated record. NCBI's taxonomy places the organism in Eukaryota, Viridiplantae, Streptophyta, Magnoliopsida, Asterales, Asteraceae.
AUGAACAAUAUUUAGUCUGAGGGAACCUAGAAAAACAAAACCACUUUCACAACAUUGCUUAUGAAAUGAUCAAAAGAAAUUUGGAACUAUUACGACUUGUGUCAAAUUCCAAAUGACACACUAUCACUCUAGUGUCCCUACAAAUUGUUUAGAUCUUAACUAAAUUUUCUUACACCCUAUCUUCGGGUAUAAAAUUGAGAGAAAAGAAAGGAUCGGGUAUAAAAUUGAGAGAAAAGAAAGGAAAGUGGAGGAAAUACAAAGGAUGGAAUUGCCUUUCCUUCAUAAUCAUCUCAUUUUUUUAAAGAGAUUAACAAAAAAAAUAAAUAAAAAUAAAAAUAAAAAAUCUACUUGUCUUCCAAUUUCUUUUCCUUCUUUUCCUUCUCUUCCGCAAAUGAAAAUGGAUAACAUACUUCAUUAUCCUUCUUUUCCUUCUCUUCCUCAAAUGAAAAUGGAUAACAUACUUCAUUAUCCUUCUUUUCCUUCCUCUUAUUCAAAAAAAAACAUAGCUUUCAAUGCCUUUCCUUCCAUCUGCAACCACUACGAUUGACCCUUUGUUAGGGUAUAAAAACGCAUUUUUUUUUGCUUUCAUUUUCUAAAGUUUUUCUUGGGAGAACUAUCUCUCUGGAGGCGAAAAUCGACACUAUGAAAAAUCCCGACAAUAUGGUUGUAGAUCUCUUGGAAGCUAGCACUACAAAUGUUGUGCCCUUAAUGGAAUCACACACAAGCUAGCAAGAAGAUGACUUGAAGAAGAAGAAGGGAGGUAUGAAUUUCGAUUAUCCCAUUGGAAUGAUGAGUGACCGAAAUUCUAAGGGCUAGGGUCCUUUAUAUAAUGGUACGAGGAAACCUGGAUAACAUUAAAUAAUAAUAUUUCAAAUUGGUUUAUCCACCUUCUUAUUUAUCCACAUAGGAUAUUCUAAAAAUCCUAGAAUAUCCCCAAAAAUCGUCCAUUCCUUAAGGUGGAAGGUUCUUGAACCUUCUGCUCAACUAUUGAACAAUUACACUUUAGACCCUACAUUUUUAAUUAAUUUUAUUAAUCCCAAAAUUAAUUAUAACUAGGUGAGAAACCCCGCUCCGCGGGGUUCAGUUUUGAGCAUAGUUUUCGUUUUUUCAUAAUCGAAUCAGUCACGCGGAUAUUUGGAGAUUGACUCUUCAAAUGCUUUCAGUUUUGGGAUACUCUAGCUUAUAGUGCAACUUAGAAACCGAAAGGCCUUGUGGUUUUUUCCUGGAAAAUAGUCAUUUAAUACCCAUUAAUGUUAUAUUUUUUCCAAAAUGAAAUAAACAAAACUUGUGGUAUUAUUCCAAAAACGUAUAAGAUAAAGUGAUAAGGAAAAAAAGGUAAAAUGCAAUUAAGUAAUAAGAAAAAAAACAAAAAGUUAAUAAGAAAAAAAAGGUAAAAUGUUGCAUUUGGGUAGAGAUUUGUUAACGUAAAAUGCCUUAAUAAGGAAAAUAAAUGAAAGUAGGAUGCUAUAAUACACCAAUAAAUAAAAGUACAAUGGUAUGUAUUGCAUUUAGCCAAAAGUUGAUUUAUCAAGUUCUUUUCUAUGGUUAAUAACUUAGAAGACCAAGUGUACUUUUGUGUGGCUUAUCUGAUAGGAUUUCAAAGGACAUAAGUGGGGUUUAAUACACCUCCUGCAACAGUCAAAAAGAUUGUAAAAUUAAAAAAAAAAAUUACUAUUCUUAUAACACUAAAUAACUUCAUAUUUUCGUGACUCUAACCUGUAGUGCAGCCUUUGUGGGGAAACAGAAUGUAAUAAGAGCAGGCGUGCUGUAAAAGGCAAAUUUUGUUCUGGAUAUAUUCUUAUUCGAAUUAGGUGAAACCUAGUCCAAAUUUUGAACUGCAAUCACAAUAUUAGCAUGCAGAAAACGGAAUUUUAAGUGAUAAUCUGACCUCAACAAUCCAACAUAAGCAUGUUAAAGAAUAUCAAUCUUUUAUUCUCCCCCUGCACAAUUAAAUUGCAGCCCUAUUAAAAUAGCUAAUAAUUUACAAAUUAAGAUCUUCCAUAAUUUCUGACAGAUAAUAGAAAAACAAUAAAGCACUGCAAAACUAUUUCAAAAGGAUGUCCCUAGUAGUGAUAUAUUUAUAGUUGCAAUUACCCUUCAGUUUACUACAACAAACACAUUCGACCCACAUCAAUUACAGUUAUAUGCGCAAAUGGAUUGCAUUUAAAAAUAAAUAUUACAUACGUUCGUAGAUAAUAAGCAAAAGAUGCAAAAGACGUAGAUAAUAUUAAAAAAAAAAAAAAAAAAAAAAAAAAGAAGUGUGGAAUUGGGUAAGCUGCUGCAAUCGUUGUUUAACCUGCCCUUAAUUUGUUUUUGAUGCAAUUUAAAAAAAAAAAAAAUUAAAACAAUCACUCUCGCAAUAAGAAAGUUGAUAUUUGUCAGCCACAAGUUCAACUACAACGUGAAAUUCAACAUUGCAUUUCGGUUUUUAGAAAUCUGGAAUGGAACUGUUGGUGAAAGAAAGUAGAAGAAAAAAUAGCUGAAUCUUGAUUGUAACUAAAUUUUCUUAAUUUGUUUAAUAGCAACCUACUUUUUUGCUCAGUGAUUGGAUGCCUAAUAGGGACACACAAAGAAUUAGGUUUUACUGCGGAUUAUGGCUUGGAGAGGUUUGUGUUGUGUUAAUUGUAUGUGGUUGUAUGAUAUUAAUAUGCAAUGCAUCUUCAUGAAAAGCUUUGUAGCAUAGCCUCUGAAAACUCUUUUGAAGACCUGCCAUCCAAAAAUCACAUAUUUUUCAAUUACUAUAAUAAACAACGCAAUUUAAAUUUCAAAAAUAAAAAAAAACUUUAAUAUGCCUAAAAACAAAAGAGUAAUAUUAAUAUCAGGUCUUCAAAAGCAGUUGACCUUUUUGCAAAAUGAACAAAUCUAAACUUCUGUUUGCCAACUGCCAUUGAAAUAAUGCCCUGAGAUGCUCUAUUGAUGUGUUCUCUGGAAUAUUGUUCAUAUAAAAUGCCCUCACCGAUGAAAAAAAAUGUUGUUAUUUUCACAUUUUAAUGCAUUAAAUUUUACAUGGAACAAACAAAAGUUGACAAUAAUAAAUGUGUAUGUUUCUAAAAACCAAUUCAACAAUGUUGGGUUCAGGUGAAAAGUAAAAAAUCUUAACAUGUCAAAAGUCAGAAUGGACGGAUAUCACUUUGCCAUAUAGAACUUAACAAUAAGAAAAAAAUGGCAUAAUAGAUGUGUAUAACUGUUUAAUCUUUAUUCAUUAAAGUUUACCUGAACAAAACAAAAUGAUAACGUGUUAAAUAGCAUGGUCAUACUAAAAUGAUAAGGUGUUAAAUAGCAUGGUCAUACUACACUUAAUCCAGAAAACUAUAGAUGAGAAUGAAAUCAUAUCAACAGUGUAAAUUUUAUUUUUAUGCAGUUUUAAAAGUAGUUGUUAUUGACUGAAGCUAGUGCAAUGGAUGAUAGAAUAUAACUAAUCUUACCGGUUCUUUGAAGCAUUUCAUCAAACAGUUGAUGUGCAUCCUCAAAUCUGCAAAGUUUGAAUAACAAAAACAAUCCAAUCCUUCUUUAAGUAAGUACCUUUUUAAGUCACCAACAUCUGAAAACAGCUGAACGAAAUAUAUAGGAAUAUAGGAUGCUAAACACUUGACAAAUCUAUUGAAGAACAUACAGAAAAGGAAAUCAAAUGUAUUUUUUUACACACUAUUCAGAUUUCUGAACAGAAGAAUUAACCAUAGCCACAAUUCCACUUCAGAACUCUCUCCUAUGAUUUUCGUAAAAAAAUGGAACACAAAUUAGAAAACCCAACAAUUUCCUAUGAGCGCUGAGAAAGAAAAGACUUAGUUCGAUCCAAAUCUUGAAAUCAUCCAGAAAUUAGGCGAGGAUACCUGUUGAUUAUUUCAAUGUCGAAAGUAGUCAGGAAAUUGAGGAACAAUGAUGUUUUGUUUCAUCCUCUCAAUUUCUUACGACUCAUCUUGAAGGGUCGCCACAGCAGCCUUUCAACCGGUAAGGAAAGUUCAACCGAACAUCACCUCCAGCCACUGCGAUCAGCAGCCAACGUCGUCGCACCACCACCAGCAUAGUGUUGAUAUGUGCUGCUGGUUGUUGUUGGUUCCUUGUCAAAAUUGGCUUUAUAGGUCGUUCUUUUCCGGUAAGAAGCAGUGAAAUAGGAUAAUGGCGGUGGGAGAGAGAAUAACGGUGAGAGAGAGCCCAUAUGGGCGUCCGUCCGCUUUCUUUGCCAUCGUGUUCAGCCAUAUUUGUGUACAUCUAAAAACUGAAACUGAAGAAGAAUCUAUAAUAGCAACUUAUCUGAUUAGAGGGGUAGGGCACCAAUCGAUAACUUCAUCAGUAAUUACAAAUAAUCGUUCAUUGGUUGUCUCCUGCUUAAUCAAAGACCACUGGAUACACAAUAAAUAAGGGAGGGUUGUUACAGGUCGUGGAUGAGAGUCGAGAAGCCACAACUGCACGACAAAGGCCUUGGCGAUUUCUUCGUUUUCCUCUCUGAUCUGUUUUUGCUCCACCGAUUACGAAUGGAAUGGUAAGAAGCGGCGGAGCCGACCGUGGGGAAGGAUCCGGAGGCAGUGACCAAAGUAGAGUUACGGUAACCCGAUGAAGAACAGGUAGUAAAGGGCAUCGUUGGAAGCGGGAUCCUUUGGAAAAAUGGUAGAAGAAGUCGAAAGAGAGAGACGAUAAAGGAUUCAAUCGAGAGGCAAACAGGUGGAGAUAGAAGCAGAGGCGGUGGUGGUGUUCUCGAAGAGGCGGAGAAGAACACGUAGCAGAAGAGCCAUGAAUCACGUCCAAAAUUGAUGA